This 383-nucleotide unclassified non-coding RNA is filed under the name uncultured fungus. RNAcentral's name for it is "partial contains 5.8S ribosomal RNA and internal transcribed spacer 2". The stretch from base 1 to 133 matches the Rfam family "5.8S ribosomal RNA", at positions 22 to 154 of the family's 154-position model. The record is from RNAcentral. Lineage: Eukaryota; Fungi.
UGGCUCUCCCAUCGAUGAAGAACGCAGCGAAAUGCGAUAAGUAAUGUGAAUUGCAGAAUUCAGUGAAUCAUCGAAUCUUUGAACGCACCUUGCGCCCUUUGGUAUUCCGAAGGGCAUGCCUGUUUGAGUGUCAUUAAAUUCUCAACCUACAAGCUGGUUUGCGCCAGUUUGAAGGCUUGGAUGUGAGGGUUAUUGCUGGCUUCCUUAAGUGGCGGUCUGCUCCCUUUAAAAACAUUAGUGGGGUUCUUUGUGAACGGUUCACUUGGUGUGAUAAUUUAUCUACGCCUUUGAACUUGAAGCAAUCUAAUGGACCUUGCUUAUAACCGUCCGCAAGGACAACACACUUUGACUUUGACCUCAAAUCAGGUAGGACUACCCGCUGA